CACAAGUGCAGUGCACAGCUGGAUUUACUGAAAUGUCUCAAAGGAUAAUGAAACAGACAGAGAUCCUGAACCAUGUCAAACCCAUUAGUGAAUCUCCAGUAUCUCCAAUGUGGCAGGUUAGCGGCUGACACUGCUUUUUACAUGGUUGCUCUCCAAGGCUAGAAAUGUGACAACCUUGAAGAAAACACCUGGGCCAGUUUGAAACGCCAUUCACAUUUGAUAUUGUCAGCUAACUGCAUGCAUUAACCAGUGGAUGUGGGACUUGUGAUUAUGAAACUUCUGUAGUAAAUACUUGUUCUGGUGAUAAAUGAACAAAUAGCAGCUAGAUUUCCAAAAAACUAGAAAUCCCACAAUUCA
This is a long non-coding RNA of Ictalurus punctatus (channel catfish), 357 nucleotides long. NCBI's taxonomy places the organism in Eukaryota, Metazoa, Chordata, Actinopteri, Siluriformes, Ictaluridae. The record is from Ensembl.